CAACAGAAGUGGUGUGUGUGCAUUUGUGAUGAAAGGUGGAAGAGAAGAUGUGGAUUUCAGACAAAGAAGAUAACAAGUGAUCUAUAUGUCAGGAUACUGAAACUCAAGACAAAUUACACGGCUCAGAAAUGGCAGCAACAAGAUUCAGUUCAGGUUUGUCUGAUUUUUAAAUCUGGUGGCUUUACCCCACUACAAAAGUUAAUUUCCCACCAUAUCAUAUACUACUAUCCAACAUUAAGCAUCUAUAUAGAUACCCUGAUAAGCAUUUUUUGUUUUUAAUCUAUUUCUGGUUUUAUUAUUCUUCCCCAUUUUUAUUAUCACUUCAUAGAUU
Molecule: long non-coding RNA, 331 nt
Organism: Cercocebus atys (sooty mangabey)
Lineage: Eukaryota; Metazoa; Chordata; Mammalia; Primates; Cercopithecidae
Exons: 2
Source: RefSeq, a predicted model, not a curated record